Molecule: small nucleolar RNA, 78 nt
Organism: Quercus robur (English oak)
Lineage: Eukaryota; Viridiplantae; Streptophyta; Magnoliopsida; Fagales; Fagaceae
Product: small nucleolar RNA Z155
Exons: 1
Source: RefSeq, a predicted model, not a curated record
UACUGACGUGAUGAGAUUGUUUUCGGAAGAUAUUGAUGUCGACUAAAUACAAUUCAGACUACAAUUAUCUGAUCAAUG